UCUGCUCAGGACGAACGCUGGCGGCGUGCUUAACACAUGCAAGUCGAACGAUGAAGCACCAGCUUGCUGGUGUGGAUUAGUGGCGAACGGGUGAGUAACACGUGAGUAACCUGCCCCUCACUCUGGGAUAAGCCUGGGAAACUGGGUCUAAUACUGGAUACGACCGAUCUCCGCAUGGAGUGUUGGUGGAAAGUUUUUGUGGUGGGGGAUGGACUCGCGGCCUAUCAGCUUGUUGGUGGGGUAAUGGCCUACCAAGGCGACGACGGGUAGCCGGCCUGAGAGGGCGACCGGCCACACUGGGACUGAGACACGGCCCAGACUCCUACGGGAGGCAGCAGUGGGGAAUAUUGCACAAUGGGCGAAAGCCUGAUGCAGCGACGCCGCGUGAGGGAUGACGGCCUUCGGGUUGUAAACCUCUUUCACCAGGGACGAAGCUAACGUGACGGUACCUGGAGAAGAAGCACCGGCUAACUACGUGCCAGCAGCCGCGGUAAUACGUAGGGUGCGAGCGUUGUCCGGAAUUAUUGGGCGUAAAGAGCUUGUAGGCGGUCUGUCGCGUCUGCUGUGAAAGACCGGGGCUUAACUCCGGUUCUGCAGUGGGUACGGGCAGACUAGAGUGUGGUAGGGGAGACUGGAAUUCCUGGUGUAGCGGUGAAAUGCGCAGAUAUCAGGAGGAACACCGAUGGCGAAGGCAGGUCUCUGGGCCAUUACUGACGCUGAGAAGCGAAAGCAUGGGGAGCGAACAGGAUUAGAUACCCUGGUAGUCCAUGCCGUAAACGUUGGGCGCUAGGUGUGGGACUCAUUCCACGAGUUCCGUGCCGCAGCUAACGCAUUAAGCGCCCCGCCUGGGGAGUACGGCCGCAAGGCUAAAACUCAAAGGAAUUGACGGGGGCCCGCACAAGCGGCGGAGCAUGCGGAUUAAUUCGAUGCAACGCGAAGAACCUUACCAAGGCUUGACAUACACCGGAAUCAUGCAGAGAUGUGUGCGUCUUCGGACUGGUGUACAGGUGGUGCAUGGUUGUCGUCAGCUCGUGUCGUGAGAUGUUGGGUUAAGUCCCGCAACGAGCGCAACCCUCGUUCCAUGUUGCCAGCACUUC
RNAcentral lists this ribosomal RNA (1097 nucleotides) under Dermacoccus sp. RNAcentral's name for it is "bacterial SSU rRNA". It matches the Rfam family "Bacterial small subunit ribosomal RNA", at positions 19 to 1127 of the family's 1533-position model. Lineage: Bacteria; Bacillati; Actinomycetota; Actinomycetes; Micrococcales; Dermacoccaceae. The record is from RNAcentral.